Molecule: long non-coding RNA, 622 nt
Filed under: Canis lupus familiaris (dog)
Lineage: Eukaryota; Metazoa; Chordata; Mammalia; Carnivora; Canidae
Description: lncRNA (ENSCAFG00000057033.1)
Source: RNAcentral
AUGUCGCAGGUGCACGUCCCAGUGCACGUCACAGUGCAUGUCGCAGGUGCACGUCGGUCCCGGGCCUCUCGGGCGGCCCUCGGCGGGCCCAGUCCCGGGGGCAGGUGUUCUUCCGAGAACCUUCUCCCGACGCCAGGUGAGGAGCCAGGGUGGCUUCCCGCGGCGCUAGCUCUGGGGAGGGCCGUGGAGCGGAAGGCCUCGCCGUCGCCGGGCGCCUUUCCUCCGUGGAGCCGAGAAACCGGAGGAUGGACUCCUCGGGAUUCUGAGCGAAUGGUCGGCAGGAGCGCUUGUCCUCCUCCUGGGGCUCGCACGGAGCGCCGCUGGGUCCCCCGGCUUCUCGCCCGGCGCGGGGGAGAGGGGCUCCCGGCCCAGGGGUUCAGCGAGAAAAGGAACCUCAUAAUCAACCAUACAUCUGUAAUGCCUCUUACAGUGUGUGAUGUCUCAGCCAACCGUUACCACUGACUUCCAUGGAUUACGGUACCUGCCACUCUGGCUUCAUUCUAACGUAUCUGAUGGCCGGAGCUUGAGCAGCCAGUGCACAGUGAGGAAGCUGUGAUGGAAGAAUAAGGUAAGAUGAACUUAGUUUUGAUUAGUUUGCCUUUGCAUGAGAAAUUAAAAAUCU